RNAcentral lists this ribosomal RNA (497 nucleotides) under uncultured bacterium. Its description in RNAcentral is "partial 16S ribosomal RNA". It matches the Rfam family "Bacterial small subunit ribosomal RNA", at positions 28 to 507 of the family's 1533-position model. The record is from RNAcentral.
GAUGAACGCUGGCGGCGUGCCUAAUACAUGCAAGUCGAGCGAACGGACGAGAAGCUUGCUUUUCUGAUGUUAGCGGCGGACGGGUGAGUAACACGUGGAUAACCUACCUAUAAGACUGGGAUAACUUCGGGAAACCGGAGCUAAUACCGGAUAAUAUUUUGAACCGCAUGGUUCAAAAGUGAAAGACGGUCUUGCUGUCACUUAUAGAUGGAUCCGCGCUGCAUUAGCUAGUUGGUAAGGUAACGGCUUACCAAGGCAACGAUGCAUAGCCGACCUGAGAGGGUGAUAGGCCACACUGGAGCUGAGACACGGUCCAGACUCCUACGGGAGGCAGCAGUAGGGAAUCGUCCGCAAUGGGCGAAAGCCUGACGGAGCAACGCCGCGUGAGUGAUGAAGGUCUUCGGAUCGUAAAACUCUGUUAUUAGGGAAGAACAUAUGUGUAAGUAACUGUGCACAUCUUGACGGUACCUAAUCAGAAAGCCACGGCUAACUACGUG